AUUAUGCCAUGCCACAUCAUCUCAACAUUUCUCAUAUUAAUUAUGCCAUGCCACAUCAUCUCAACAUUUCUCAUAUUAAUUAUGCCAUGCCACAUCAUCUCAACAGUAAUAAGGUAUGAAUGCAUCAACAUAAUCAUAUCAGGUGCAAGAAAGUAAUCAACCGUAGGCCCUCUAAUAGCCCUGUACGGUUGAACCUAGAGCUCAAAAUCUAUCACUCUCACACUCUGCCGGAGUCACUCCGCGUGACCUGUACGGCCUUCUGCACAUAAGUUACGCUCUAGUGCUUCUCAUAAUCAUUUGUGCACAUAAUCUAAGGUCACCCACCAGUCGGAAUCUCACUAACACUCUCGCGACUGGCCUGUCGUACCCACUCCGCGUGGACUGUACGACUAGCAUCUACUUGGAUCCAAGACGAGCGUGCGAUGCGGUGAAUACUAUAAGCACUAAACUAUGGUGCAGGAUUUGAGCUCAAUAUACAUCAACAUCAUCAUAACAGAAAUAAAUACUCACAUGUGCGUCCACCGCACCAUUUCAUACAUAUGCAUCAUAAAUCAAUUCUUACCCGUGCGUCCACCGCACCAAUUCAUACAUAUGCAUCAUAAAUCAAUUCUUACCUGUGCGUCCACCGCACCAAUUCAUACAUAUGCAUCAUAAAUCAAUUCUUACCUGUGCGUCCACCGCACUAAUUCAUACAUAUGCAUCAUAUAUUAAUUCAUGCAUGGCAUUUCAACUCACAUUUCUAAAUACUUUUCAUAUCAAUUCUAUGCAUGGUAUUUCACUUCCCGUUUUUCCACAUAACUCAUAUGCAUUUCAUUUUAAACAUAUUUUCAUUUCAAUUCAAUUUCUGGGAAACGUCAAGUAUAUAUAUAUAUACGGAAAACAAAACUGCCCACUCACCUGGAGUUCGUCCAACAACUCCCUAGCACCACACAUCAAGGCGUCACGACGAUCGGCGCCUAAAACAAUAAUCAAAUCUAGCCUCAGAAUUCAUAUCGAUAGAACAUAUAACUUAUAUAAAAUACGUCACUACGUAGUUCGAUCCGGAAGAUCUGCCACUCAGAUUUUAAAUCCAUAACUUCCAGAGGUCCACAAUAUAUCUCUAGGAUAACAUCCUAAAAUUUCAUUUCCAUCCAACGGUCGGAUCUCCGUCAAUUUCCAAAACUAAGUGACGGUUAACAUUUUAUAUUAUGGACUUACAACUCCAAUUCCGGAAGAUCCGUAACUCGGAUUCCCAAUCCGUAAGUUCCAAUAAUCCUCCAAUAUUACGUAUUACAACGUAUCAAAGUUUGGUGAUGAUCCAACGGUCGGAUCGUCAAUUCAUAUUUUCACCUAAAUGCAAAAACUAUAAAACGUUAUUUGAACACCUAACCAACAAUCCUUAACAACUUUCUCAUACGGUGCUCAAUUUGGGUAUAUGAAUAUACCACGGUGAUCUACUCGACGUCACGGACGUCGAAAUAUUUUUAAAAUAAUUUUUUACUGUAGCACGCGACCCCACGCGCCAAGGAAGGCACGGACCUACGCGCCCCCACGCGCACCUUCUUCUUCCUUGGGUCGCUGGACUGGUUUUUCCGGUGACCGGAAAACUGGGCAUUUUUCAAAUGCCUUGUUCUCCUUCGUUUCUCAACCAUUUUCUUCGUAUAAUAUAUCAAAUUGAAGCCCCAAACAUGUAGAAUCACAAUAUACUACUUUAAAGCUCUAAAAACCAUGAAAUCUCACCGGAAAAAUUCCAAGAAAACCGGCCAAAGAUGAACCACGUGAUCCCGGCGUCUAAAUCCUUCAAACGAAGCACUCCGAGCUUCCUUGGGACCUCACUAAGCUCACUAUGAACUUGGAUUGUCCUAAAAUCAACCAACAAAAAGUUCAUGAAUAGUGCCAAACUCGGACCUCGAGUUUUCAACGCGAAAACGAAGGAUUCCUUACCUGAAAAUGGUGUCUACGUGAUCGUGGAGGUUCCAGGAGUUCGAUGGUGGUCUUAAAUUGGACGUUCGUGGAGGUUUGAUUGAGGUUGUGUGUGAGUCCGUAUGUUCGAGAGUAAGAGAGAGAGUGAGAGAGAGUUUUCUGAGAAGAAUAAGAUAGAGAGAAGAGGUUACGGGUUUUAGGGAGGGAAUUCAGGGUAGGAGGCCCUACCUAAGUCCAAACACAAAUUAACCAUAGUUUCGGAUCUUUAGAUAACACAAUGUCGUACAUUUACGCACCUUAAUCCCGUUUAAGGGCAUAUUGGUCAUUUCACGUCCUCGGAAUUAAAAUUCCGAGACGGGCUGUGACAAUCUCCCCUCCUUAUAGAAUUUCGUCCCCGAAAUUCCAGCCACCAACCAACCCAUCAAUACUCAUACCAAACUCGGUAAGUUUCUUUCAUCCGAUUCUUUUUCUCCUACGAAAUUUUCUUCCACUGAAUAAUUCCUUCACAAAACUUUUACCAUUUACUCUAUCUUAACUCUCAUGAUCUUCUUUUUCCAAUCCAAAGUUGUCAUUAGCUCCUCACUAAUUAGAUCCAGUUUAAUUCUCAAUAGUUACACCAGAAUUCCAUGAGACGACUCUGCCACCUAGUGACAACGCAUCGAACACAAAAUACAUUAAGUACCGUUGCCCUGUCUGGGAAAAAGUUAUUACUCAGCACUGGAGUAAUUGUACUAACUUGGUACAUUGCCCAACUAUCACUUCAAAUUCGAUCAUAACCAUCCUAUGUACAAGGAAACUUGUACACAUAAUCCAAAGUAAUAUCUUUCCAUUUCCACUGCGAAACAGAAAAUAGUUAUCUCAAUCCAAAGGUUUAUCUUUUUCUGCCUCAAUCUGCUGACCAAAUAAAACUGUCGAAUGGUAUGAUAAAUCUUAUUACUUUUGGAAUAUUGCAGAAGUUGAACAGUGAACUUCGUCCAAAUUUGCUUGCUUUAAAUCCUCAGCAUUAGGCACAUACUUUUUGUUUUCUUGUAUCCACAUACCAUUUGAUUCACGAAUCAUGUACUCAUUCUUUUUCCCUUCUUUCUCUGCCUUGGUUAAUUCUUAAAUUUCCUCGUCAAACAUUUAAGUUUCGAGUACGACCUUACCAAAAGGCCUAACUUGAAACUUAGCAAGUAUAACUUCUUCUCGAUCUUUCAUUCUUAACUUUACUUUAGUUGGUUUCCAAUCCACAAGAUGAUACUCUUGGCCAACGUGCCAGACAUUAAUUCUUACUGCAAUCUUUUUAUCAAGUGCUUCAACUAUAUCAAUCCCACGAUCACCCUGGUCGUACAAUCAUGUUCAUUAAACAAUUCAAUUUACCUUCGCUGCCUCAUAUCAAAAUCCUUCCAAGUAAUGGAUAUUGAAGACUUUUUGGAUUCGUAAAAUCUUGCAUUCUUACCAAAUAUAAUGCCUUCAUAACUUCACAGCAAGAAUGGUAAUCAUGACUUCCAAGUCACCCGUAGGGUAAUUCAUCUCAGGAGGUUCCAUUUAUCGUGAAACGUAUGCAAUCACCCUAACAUUUGCAUCAACAUGCCUCCAAUACCAUUCAAGAAACAUCACUAAAAAUUUAUGAUUACCACUAUUCUCUGGGAAUACCAAAAUACGUGCAUGAGUGAGGAAAUACUUCAGUUGUUGAAUCCUUUGCUCACAAUUUCCUUCCCACUCAUACAUAACCUCUUUUCUCAACAGUCUCGUCAAUGACAAAGCAAUGACUAAAAAAUCUUUCACAACCAUCCAAAAUAGCCUGGUAAGCUAAGAAAUUCCGAAUCUCAAUUAUGGCUUGUGGUUGUUCCAAAUUUUUAAUUUCUACUACUUUUUAAGGAUUCACUUGAAUACCUUAAGAAUAUAUAACAUAUCCCAGAAUGCCACCUGAUUCAUCUAACUUUAACAUUUGCUACUUAGCAUACAACCAACGUUCUCUCAAUCUUUGCUUCACCAACUUAAUACGUUUACAUGCUCUGCUCUGGCUCAGAAUAUGCCAGAAUAUCUUCAAUGAAAACGAUAUCAAUUAUCAAAGCAUUAUUGGAAUACUUCAUCCAUCAACUCAUAAAACAACAUGAGUAUCCAUAUAGCAUCACCAAACUUCAUAAAGACUAUAACAAGUCCAGAAAACCAUCUUAUGAUCAACGUCAUUCAUAAUCUUUAAUUGGUAAUAACCAGACUUCAAGUCAAUCUUUGAAAAUAUACAAGCACCUUUGAACUGAUCAAAUGAGCGUCAAUACACCACAAUGGAUAACGGUUCUCAUUCGUUACCCGAUUCCAUUAUCUAUAAUCAAUGCACAAUCUCUAAGUCCAUUUUCUUUUUCACCAACGAACUGGUGCUCCUCAAAAGUGUUAUACUGGGUUGAAUAAACUUUUAUCAACCAAUUCCCUCAAUUGAAUUUCCAAUUCACUUAACUCAUCAUGAACCAAUCUCUAUCAUAAGAUUUAUACCUGGCAACAAUUCAAUAGUGAACCUCACAUCUUUGCAUGAAGGCAAUCCAGGUAUACUUUCAAGGACAACAUUAAGAAAGCGUCCAAUUACCUUUACAUUUUCCAACUACUAGGAGCCACAUUAUUUAGCAUCACAUAAGCUAAGUAUCCUUGACAGAUCUUCGAAAACAAUCUCCUUGCUCUCACAGCAUAAAUAACGGCCUGACUCAAUCCACUUUGCAUACUUACAAAAGUAAUCUCUGGUCAUCCAGAUCGAUGGAAAGUACUGGUUUCCUGUAACAUUCCGUCGUGUCACAAUUAUAACCAACCAAUCUAAUGGAACAGAAUUAACUGAUACAAUAUAUAUUCUAUUAUUAAGCAUUCUGAAGAAGUACAAUACUAACAUAAAAUAAUCUACUAGGUUGCUUGCUUAACAAAUCCACGAAUGAGUUAUUAAUAUUACGGUCUGCAGCCCGCAAUACUGAUAAAUCAUCGUUGUCUCGAUAAGUAGGCAACCACUCUCAAAGAUAUAACAUUACUAUUUUGAUACUCAAUGCAAAAUACAUACACUCGUCUCAACUACAAUUAAUUACUACUCUCUAGGUAAUAACAUACAUAAUAAGAAAUAUAUCAGCCGAAGUCAACUAGAAUGACCAAUACGGCUGAUUCAACUCUUAUCUCAAUAAUACGUCGGUCGGAUCCACUCCGCGUGGUCGGUACGGCCGAGCCUAUAACUCACCAAUUUCUCAUGCGUCAGCCAGAUCCACCUCUCGUGGCCUGUACGGCUGAACAUAUAACUCAUCAAAUCUCUCUGUACUCACGGUCAAUCCGACCAAACUACUAAAUCCAUAACUCUGCUGAAUCGAUACUACGAUGUCAUAGAAAACUGUUGGGUACAACUGAUUCUAGGGACGAUUCAUAAUUUUGUGUCCUCUCUGUUCACAUAAACACAUUCCUUAAUUUCACACUUCCCAAAGUGUUAAUUUUGUACCUGCUGCACAAGGUACAUUUCCUUUACUCGAGACACCUUGUCUCAAAUAUCUGGAUGGAACGAGGCAAGUCUGAAAACUUUCUAUAAUAUUCAUUUAUCGUCAACUUCCUUGAUUCACAUUUGUAAACUCUUGCUUACUACCAUCGAUAAAUGCCGGAGGGAUAAACUUUUCCUUAAACAAGUCCUUAAAUAAUUCUCAAUCAGCUGUUUUCUCCGGUGACAACAAUUAACAAUCCUGUUUCCACCAGGAUACAAAUUCAUACCCAAAACCAGGUAGUCGUCUCGACCCCUUGUCAGAAGGAAGAUUCCUUUGACUUGCAUAAUCCGAAACAUCUUUUCCAAAUGUUUAAACCGUUACUUUGUUCCCUCAGGUUCAUCAUUUCUCUUAUGUGAUUCAAGUUCAACUCAUUACCCAUCUUAAAAUGUCCAUUUUGAUAAUAUACUGAAUCACCAUAAUAAUAGUUUCCCCUAACCCGCUAAAUCAGGGAGACUAAGUUCCUCUAACUACGUGGUUUGCUACGAGGCGGUGUAGUUCUGACAGAAUUCACUAGAAACUUCUCAAGAUGUCCAAGAUUGCAACCAUGCUCUGAUACCAACUGACACACCCCGUCCCGAAGGAGGGCAUGCUGGCCGUCACGUGAGAGUGACGUAACCAUUUGCACAGUACGGAAGCUUUAAGAUACAAUUUAUAAGUUGAUACACCCGAAGGUGAGUCCUAAUUUUGUCCAAUCUGUCAGAACACCGUCGAAUUCCUCGUAGUCACCACACCUUUGUGAUUUUUGAACCUGGAGGGGCGCAAAACCAAAAUUGAGUGGGUCAGUAAAACAAUUCUUUUCCAAAUCCAAACAUUUCUCAAAACGUUGUAACCCCUCUCCGUAAAACCUGUAUACUUUCCCAGAAAUGUAAAAUAUAAAUCUACAUAUAUAUUCUCAAGACUUCAAGUCGUUAACUCAACAUUUUCAUACAAUUAUGCCAUGCCACAUCAUCUCAACAUUUCUCAUAUUAAUUAUGCCAUGCCACAUCAUCUCAACAGUAAUAAGGUAUGAAUGCAUCAACAUAAUCAUAUCAGGUGCAAGAAAGUAAUCAACCGUAGGCCCUCUAAUAGCCCUGUACGGUUGAACCUAGAGCUCAAAAUCUAUCACUCUCACACUCUGCUGGAGUCACUCCGCGUGACCUGUACGGCCUUCUGCACAUAAGUUACGCUCUAGUGCUUCUCAUAAUCAUUUGUGCACAUAAUCUAAGGUCACCCACCAGUCGGAAUCUCACUAACACUCUCGCGACUGGCCUGUCGUACCCACUCCGCGUGGACUGUACGACUAGCAUCUACUUGGAUCCAAGACGAGCGUGCGAUGCGGUGAAUACUAUAAGCACUAAACUAUGGUGCAGGAUUUGAGCUCAAUAUACAUCAACAUCAUCAUAACAGAAAUAAAUACUCACAUGUGCGUCCACCGCACCAUUUCAUACAUAUGCAUCAUAAAUCAAUUCUUACCCGUGCGUCCACCGCACCAAUUCAUACAUAUGCAUCAUAAAUCAAUUCUUACCUGUGCGUCCACCGCACCAAUUCAUACAUAUGCAUCAUAAAUCAAUUCUUACCUGUGCGUCCACCGCACUAAUUCAUACAUAUGCAUCAUAUAUUAAUUCAUGCAUGGCAUUUCAACUCACAUUUCUAAAUACUUUUCAUAUCAAUUCUAUGCAUGGUAUUUCACUUCCCGUUUUUCCACAUAACUCAUAUGCAUUUCAUUUUAAACAUAUUU
This 7098-nucleotide long non-coding RNA is filed under the name Malus domestica (apple). Its description in RNAcentral is "long non-coding RNA (MDOM_LNC003348)". Lineage: Eukaryota; Viridiplantae; Streptophyta; Magnoliopsida; Rosales; Rosaceae. The record is from RNAcentral.